UGCUGGUGUGCCUUUCUUGCUGUGCUCCUGCCCAAGCAGCCAGUUAUUAAUUUCCUUCCUACUAGUUGAAAACUUUUCAGCCAGAGUGCAGGUGAUAACCAUUUGGUUACUCAAAGAAUCCCUUGGGAGCUGAAGAAGCAGCAUCUUCCAGGCUCAGGGGCAUCAUACCUGUGAUCACCUCUAUUUCUGGAGUAAUCUUUGGAUUCUUCAGCAGUUGGUUUGUUACUGAAAAGCUUGGAAUAUUUCCUCUGAUUGCCUUCCU
Molecule: long non-coding RNA, 262 nt
Filed under: Strigops habroptila (Kakapo)
Lineage: Eukaryota; Metazoa; Chordata; Aves; Psittaciformes; Psittacidae
Description: lncRNA (ENSSHBG00005003324.1)
Source: RNAcentral